RNAcentral lists this long non-coding RNA (1685 nucleotides) under Citrus x clementina. RNAcentral describes it as "Citrus clementina (C. clementina) long non-coding RNA (CCLE_LNC005093)". Lineage: Eukaryota; Viridiplantae; Streptophyta; Magnoliopsida; Sapindales; Rutaceae. The record is from RNAcentral.
GUUAUUUUUGGGCGCGGCUGUUCCCGCGGCCUAUUUUUGGCGCACGGAGACGCCUUGCAAAGUCUCGUGCCAUUCCGAGUCCGGCGGAGAAAAGUGGGCCAGCCCCACCCCACAAGGCUAUAGCGCACCCGUUUUUGUGGUCUUUUUCCGCUGGACGAACUUGGCGCCCCGGCCUUCGGGCGGUUAUUUUUGGGCGCGGCUGUGCCCGCGGCCUAUUUUUGGCACACGGAGGUGCCUCGCAAAGUCUCGCGCCAUUCCGAGUCCGGCGGACGAAGUUGGCCAGCCCCACCCCCCAAGGCUAUAGCCCACCCGUUUUUGUGGGCUUUUUCCGCUGGACCGAACUUUGGGGCCCCGGCCUUCGGGCGGUUAUUUUUGGGCGCGGCUUUGCCCGCGGCCUAUUUUUGGCACACGGAGGACGCACGCAAAGUAUCGCGCCAUUCCGAGUCCGGCGGACGAAGUGGGCCCGCCCCACCCCCCAAAGCUAUAGCCCACCCGUUUUUGUGGGCUUUUUCCGCUGGACGAACUUGGCGCCCCGGCCUUCGGGCGGUUAUUUUUAGGCGCGGCUGUGCCCGCGGCCUAUUUUUGCCACACGAAGGCGCCUCGCAAAGUCUCGCGCCAUUCCGAGUCCGGCGGACGAAGUGGGCCAGCCCCACCCCCCAAGGCUAUAGCCCACCCGUUUUUGUGGCCCUUUUCCGCUAGACGAACUUGGCGCCCUGGCCUUCGGUCGGUUAUUUUUGGGUGAGGCUGUGUUCGCGGCCUAUUUUUCGCACACAGAGGUGCCUCACAAAGUCUCGUGCCAUUCAGAGUCCAGACAACGAAAUUGGCCAGUCCCACCCCCCAAGGUUAUAGCCCACCCGUUUUUGUGGCCUUUUUCCGCUGGACGAACUUGGCGCCCCGGCCUUCGGGCGGUUAUUUUUGGGCGCGGCUUUGCCCGCGGCCUAUUUUUGGCACACGGAGGACGCACGCAAAGUAUCGCGCCAUUCCGAGUCCGGCGGACGAAGUGGGCCCGCCCCACCCCCCAAAGCUAUAGCCCACCCGUUUUUGUGGGCUUUUUCCGCUGGACGAACUUGGCGCCCCGGCCUUCGGGCGGUUAUUUUUAGGCGCGGCUGUGCCCGCGGCCUAUUUUUGCCACACGAAGGCGCCUCGCAAAGUCUCGCGCCAUUCCGAGUUUCCGCCGGACGAAGUGGGCCAGCCCCACCCCCCAAGGGCUUAUAUUUGGGCGCUGCUGUGACCGCGGCCUAUUUUUAGCACACGGAGGUGCCUCGCAAAGUCUCGCGCCAUUUCGAGUCCGGCGGAUGAAGUGGGCCAGCCCCACCCCCGAAGGAUAUCGCCCACCCAUUUUUGUGGUCUUUUUCCGCCUGAUGAACUUGGCGCCCGGGGCGUCGGGCUGUUAUUUUUGGGCGCGGCUGUGCCCGCGGCCUAUUUUUUGUGCACGGAGGUGCCUCGCAAAGUCUCGCGCCAUUCCGAGUCCUGCGGACGAAGCUGGCCAGCCCCACCCCCCAAGGCUAUAGCCCACCCGUUUUUGUGGGCUUUUUCCGCUGGACGAACAUGGCGCCCCGGCCUUCGGGCGGUUAUAUUUGGGCGCGGCUGUGCCCGUGGCCUAUUAUUCGCACACGGAGGCGCCUCGCAAAGUCUCGCGCCAUUCCGAGUCCGGCGGACGAAGCUGGCCAGCCCCACCCCCCAAG